GAUCCUGGCUCAGAUUGAACGCUGGCGGCAGGCUUAACACAUGCAAGUCGAGCGGAGAGAGGUAGCUUGCUACUGAACUUAGCGGCGGACGGGUGAGUAAAGCUUAGGAAUCUGCCUAUUAGUGGGGGACAACGUUUCGAAAGGAACGCUAAUACCGCAUACGUCCUACGGGAGAAAGCAGGGGAUCACUUGUGACCUUGCGCUAAUAGAUGAGCCUAAGUCGGAUUAGCUAGUUGGUGGGGUAAAGG
Molecule: ribosomal RNA, 248 nt
Filed under: uncultured bacterium
Lineage: Bacteria
Description: partial 16S ribosomal RNA
Rfam family: Bacterial small subunit ribosomal RNA
Source: RNAcentral